RNAcentral lists this ribosomal RNA (442 nucleotides) under uncultured bacterium. RNAcentral's name for it is "bacterial SSU rRNA". It matches the Rfam family "Bacterial small subunit ribosomal RNA", at positions 958 to 1399 of the family's 1533-position model. The record is from RNAcentral.
AACGCGAAGAACCUUACCUACCCUUGACAUGUCAGGAAGAUAUCAGAGAUGAAAUUGUGCCCGAAAGGGAACCUGAACACAGGUGCUGCAUGGCUGUCGUCAGCUCGUGUCGUGAGAUGUUGGGUUAAGUCCCGCAACGAGCGCAACCCUUGUCAUUAAUUGCCAUCAUUCAGUUGGGCACUUUAAUGAGACUGCCGGUGAUAAACCGGAGGAAGGUGGGGAUGACGUCAAGUCCUCAUGGCCCUUAUGGGUAGGGCUUCACACGUAAUACAAUGGUCGGUACAGAGGGUUGCCAACCCGCAAGGGGGAGCUAAUCUCAGAAAGCCGAUCGUAGUCCGGAUUGUAGUCUGCAACUCGACUACAUGAAGUCGGAAUCGCUAGUAAUCGCGGAUCAGCAUGUCGCGGUGAAUACGUUCCCGGGCCUUGUACACACCGCGUGUCU